GACGAACGCUGGCGGCGUGCUUAACACAUGCAAGUCGAACGGAGCGAAUGAAAGCUUGCUUUUAUGAGCUUAGUGGCAAACGGGUGAGUAACACGUAGACAACCUGCCGACAGGAUGGGGACAACAUUCCGAAAGGAAUGCUAAUACCGAAUGAAGCGGAGGAGAGGCAUCUCUCCUCCGUGAAAGAUGGCCUCUGAAUAUGCUAUCACCUGUCGAUGGGUCUGCGUCUGAUUAGCUAGUUGGUGAGGUAACGGCUCACCAAGGCGACGAUCAGUAGCCGGUCUGAGAGGAUGAACGGCCACAUUGGGACUGAGACACGGCCCAGACUCCUACGGGAGGCAGCAGUGGGGAAUCUUCCGCAAUGGGCGCAAGCCUGACGGAGCAACGCCGCGUGAGUGAAGAAGGUCUUCGGAUCGUAAAGCUCUGUUGAUGGGGACGAACGUGCGUGAUGCGAAUAGUGUCAUGCAAGACGGUA
Molecule: ribosomal RNA, 475 nt
Filed under: Selenomonas sp. oral taxon 138
Lineage: Bacteria; Bacillati; Bacillota; Negativicutes; Selenomonadales; Selenomonadaceae
Description: bacterial SSU rRNA
Rfam family: Bacterial small subunit ribosomal RNA
Source: RNAcentral